Long non-coding RNA from Dama dama (fallow deer), 3450 nucleotides. RefSeq lists it as uncharacterized. The record is from RefSeq and is a predicted model, not a curated record. The transcript has 3 exons. NCBI's taxonomy places the organism in Eukaryota, Metazoa, Chordata, Mammalia, Artiodactyla, Cervidae.
CUACUUCUAGAAAGUCGUCCCCACCCCCACCCCCCACCCCCGUGUUCCAGUUCAGAGGACAAAGGUCUAUCGAUGUCCAUGCCUUCCCCCAGUGAGGACACCCGGGGAAGACCUGCCUGCCUCAGUUGUGUACAGGACUAAGCCAAUGGCACAGAGUUAUCCAUGAAAUCAGGUAGAAGGUACAGGUCUUUUCGGAUGCAAAGCCCACAACUCCACACUUCUCAACUCCACCCUCUGCUGCCUCCUAGAUCCUGCAUGAGAAGCUGCAGAUACCAGGGUCGUAAUAUAAGCUGUGCUAUAAGAGACCGAGGUCUGAUCUCUUGAGGACCCUAUGAGGAAAGAUUUAACAUGAAGGACACCAGUUGAGUGGAGAAAACCACUGUUGAGGAGGAGGAUGUGACAAUGUUAGGAAGAUGGGGGUAAUAAUCAAGAAGGGAAGAGCAUGUGGCAGAGAAAACAAAAAUAAUCGUUAAUGCUUGGUGAGUGCUUCCCAUGUGCCGGGUACUGUUCUGAGCGCUUCCCUUAUGUUAAUUUCUUUAGUACUAUUAUGCUCCCUCUAUGGAUGAGGAAACUGAGGCCCAAGGUCACAGUUUCUGGUACGUGGUAGAACAGCGGGGAGUUGCCUGCAGAGCCUAACACUUAACGCCUUAGGAAGCCACACAGAGAAAGAAGAGGGUGAGAGAGAGAUGCCACUCUUCUGACAGAGGAUGAACAGGCAAGGCUGGACUAGGCUGUCAUUUCUAAAGCCAAGGCCAGAUCCUGUUUGCCUGGAGGAAAUCCAACCACAAUCUCUGUUGGGGUUCCUUCUUGGAGUUACGCACAAGUUCUGGGAUCUUAUGAACUCCACAAUAUGAGGAAAGUUCCUUCUGUUCACUAAUCUGUACUUAAAAACCCUGAGGCGCUGCGUCAGUUAAGAAUGUAUAGGCUCUCCAUAAUGGCUCAGCAGUCAAGAAUCUGCAUGCGAUGCAGGAGACCCUGGUUCGAUCCCUGGGUCAGGAAGAUCCCCUGGAGGAGGUCAUGGCAACCCACUCCAGUAUUCUUGCCUAGAGAAUCCCAUGGACAGAGGGGCCUGGCGGGCUGCCGUCCGUGGGGUCGCACAGAGUCGGACAUGACUGAAGCGGUUAAAGAGCAGCAGCAGCCGCUCUCCACAGGAGAAACCCCGAAUAAUUUCAGCCAAGACCAGGAGACCUUGGCUUAUGGUCCAGCCUCCCCAAGCAUACUCAGCAGCCUCCUCCUGAGUUUUUCCAGGGUGUUGACAGGGAGCUGGACACAUUCCCAGAAGAAUGUGGGCACUUAUGGCCCUUUGCCUCGUUCCGGUCAGGAGAAACCACCUGCUAAGCCACACCGCUUCUCAAACGCACUUCCCUUCCUCACUCCGUCACCUUCAUGCCCUCCCGGAGUCCUGCUAAAAUAUUCUCAAGGGGGAGGCCUUCAGGAAAACAAAGAGUAACAAGUGUCUUCCUGGGAGUUUCUUCUCUUGGCCAGCUGACACAAGCCUGUUUUUUGUGUCUGUGAUGAUUGAGGGGACGGGGACAGCAAUGCAGGAGAGAGGAGCGCACACGCUGGUCUCUGUGUGACUGUCCCGCUGUUGCAGGGGAAAGAACAGUGCGGUGCUAAAUAGGAGACCUGGACCCCAGCCUCUGCUCUGGGCCCAAAUGUCUUCAUCAGUAAAACUGUUAAGAAGGAACACUAUAGGGGUGGGGAUGGGAGGAGUCCAUCUGCUUCAAAACUAGAUACAGAGGCCUCUGCAAAUUGCCUAGCAAAAUGCCCCAGUCAGACCCAUCCCUCCCUGGAUGGUAAGGUUGGGAGACACGGGAAAGGCAGGAAGUAUGUGUUGUAGGCGUCCAGGGGCAGAUCUGGGUGUUCCCAGCCUGGCUCCAUGAUCAUACAAGGGGAGGUGUGGGGUUACAAGUGGUGGUGGAGUGGGGGGGAGGGGGUGGUGGUUAAGAAGUAGCAAAGGAUCCCUAAAGUCACAUUUUAGUAUCCAGGACAGAAGUUUUUAACUAGGGUCCCUGAACCACAGCCUGUACACUGGAAUUCAGAGGUUGAUGAACUGAGAUUGGAAAAUAUUACAACUUAACCUCCACUCACCUCCAUUUUCUCAGUUAUGAAUAAAUGCAAAAAACUGUGGUUGCAUUAGCAGGGCCAGUAGAAAGCAGUGCUUUUUCUUUCCUUUUACCUUUGCAGGUAUCUUGAAACAUUAAACUCAUUUCUACUUCAAGUUGACAGUGGUUUAUUGGGCUCAUCCCCUCAAUUCUUGUUAUUUAAUGUAUUAAAGAAACCCAUAUAUUACACCACCACACACUUCAAUAUUUUCACAACUGUAUUUCAACAUAACUAGUUUCCUUUGUGAUCCCUUUAUGCAAAGGAAAAUAUUUUGAGAAGGAAUCAUGGCACAAAAAAGGUCAAGGGCCCCCAGACCAGGAGCGGUCCCUAUUGACGCGUGGCCCAGAGUGAGGACGGCUGCCCGCUGAGCACAGGCUGCCACAGGAGGAACCAGGUCAGAAUCCCACCAGGCACUGCUCCCGCUCCAGGAAACCUUGGGGUAGGACGCAGGGGUGAGGCAUGACCGCGACGAGUCACGGAGAUCUUUAGCUCGAUGGAGUGGCCUUGGGCCUCUGCUGCCCGUUGUGAAAAAGGAGACGAUCACCAGCCUCUUAGCUUCAAUCACAUGAGGAUGGAGCCCCAAGCUCACUGUGGAAUAAAGGGAAGGGAGCACUCAACUUUUGUACUCAGGGAGUUUUUUCAGCCCUCUCCCCCUCCCCUUUUCUUUUUUGAAGAACUCAGGAUCUUAGUUCUCUGGCGAGGGAUUGAACCCACACACCCUGCAGUGAAAGCAUGGAGGUUUAGCCAGUGGACCACCAGGGGAGUCCCCAGCCCAAUUUAAGGAAACAAAAGCCAAGUGUAGGGAGAAGGGAGAAGAAGAGAUUCUUCCGCAGCUACAGUUGUAUCUUCUCGGCUCAGGGAUGAGAGGAAAGUGUCAACCAACGAACCAAUAUUGGUGCACUAUUAUUAAAGAAAGUCCACAGCUUACUUGAGGGUUCACUCUUUGUGUUGUACAGUUCCACUGGUUUUGAAAAAUGCAUAAUGUCAUGUAUCCACCAUGACAUCAUUCAUAAUAGUUUUACUGCCCUAAAAAUGCCCCAUCUGAGCCUCAGUUUUAACAUCUCUAAAAUGAGAAAGUGAAACUCCUCUAAAUCCCCUCAUCCUCUCAUUGUAGGUUUCUAAUUUAGGCCUCUUGACAAAGUGGUGCUGAAAUCAACAAAAUGUUGCUCUAAGUGUGGUCUGAUAUCCAUCAGAAUCACUGGGCUUGGGUUGAGGUGAGGAGGUCCUCAUUCAAACCUUCUGGGUUCUCAACCUCAGACCCACUAAACCCAGGGUCAGGGCCCAGGAAUCUGCAUUUUAACUGGACCCUGGUGCACAGGGAAGUUUGAGACCUCAACAGAGUAU